GACGAACGCUGGCGGCGUGCUUAACACAUGCAAGUCGAACGGAAAGGCCUCUUUCGGGGGGUACUCGAGUGGCGAACGGGUGAGUAACACGUGAGUAACCUGCCCUUGACUUUGGGAUAACUUCAGGAAACUGGGGCUAAUACCGGAUAGGAGCUCCUGCUGCAUGGUGGGGGUUGGAAAGUUUCGGCGGUUGGGGAUGGACUCGCGGCUUAUCAGCUUGUUGGUGGGGUAGUGGCUUACCAAGGCUUUGACGGGUAGCCGGCCUGAGAGGGUGACCGGCCACAUUGGGACUGAGAUACGGCCCAGACGCCUACGGGAGGCAGCAGUGGGGAAGAUUGCACAAGGGGUGGAAGCCUGAUGCAGCAACGCCGUGUGCGGGAGGACGGCCUUCGGGUUGGAAACCGCUUUCGCUCAUGACGAAGCUUUGUGUGACGGUAGUGGGUAAAGAAGCACCGGCUAACUACGUG
RNAcentral lists this ribosomal RNA (467 nucleotides) under uncultured bacterium. RNAcentral describes it as "partial 16S ribosomal RNA". It matches the Rfam family "Bacterial small subunit ribosomal RNA", at positions 28 to 507 of the family's 1533-position model. The record is from RNAcentral.